Molecule: long non-coding RNA, 1889 nt
Filed under: Sorghum bicolor (sorghum)
Lineage: Eukaryota; Viridiplantae; Streptophyta; Magnoliopsida; Poales; Poaceae
Description: long non-coding RNA (SBIC_LNC009763)
Source: RNAcentral
AUCAUAAAUAACUCUAUACAGUAAGUUAAUCAAAUAAGUUACGUUACAUACACAUAAAAAUACAUAACUCGAACAAUAAGUUAACCAAAUAAGUUACAUAGCAUAUACAUGAAAAGAUAGGUUACAUACAUAACUAUAUACAAUAAGUUAAUCAAAUAAGUAGACAAUAUACAAAUAAAAACACAAGUUAGAUACAUAACUCUGUAUAAUAAGUUAAUCAAAUAACUUAGAUAGCAUACACAUGAAAAAGGCAGAUUACAUACAUAACUUUGUAUAAUAUAAAUUAAUCAACUAAGUUAUAUAGCAUACACACAAAACAAAUGUUAGAUACAUAUAACUCUGUACAAUAAGUUAAUCAAAUAAUUUGAUAGCAUACACACAUGAAAACACAAGUUAGAUAUAUAACUUUGUAUAAUAAGUUAAUUAACUAAAUUAGGUAGCACACAUAUGAAAAACAUGUUAUAAGCAUAACUUUAUAUAAUUUAUAGUCAUAAGAUUAAGUAAAACAAGAUGAAGAGAAAAAGUGAAAGAAGGAAUCAAAAUAGUGAAAAGAAAAUUAAUUGGUUAAUAUAUAAAAGAAUAAAAAUAUAAAGGAAAAAGAAGAAAAUAUAUAAAAAAGAUAAAGAUGAAUGCACUUGUGGCAGCGCAUGUUCGGUGGAGGAAUAAAUGUGACGCACCUAUAAUAGCACACGUCUGUCUCGGGAUCGUUCGAUCAAACAGAAAGGAGUGAACGCUCGUGGGAAUGGAUUUGUGCUUGCCAACCCAAUUGAUGUGGCAGGAGGUACUGGUUCACAUCCUCUAUUCGCUACCUUGUGAGAAUCAGGCUAGCGGGACAAAAAUUAUGUUUUGGUCAUAUAAUUAAAGUUCGCAAAUCCCAAUGCAAGAAACAGUAGGAGCCAUGACUUCACUAAUAUGCCGUAGGAUGUGAUAAUCAAACUCAACUAGCUAGUAGACUAGUAAGGUAGGAGGUGUAGUUAUGCACCCAAAUAUAUCCAGAUUAAUUUGAGUUCUCGUCAACUCAGAUUUAAGUGCCUAUUUUCUUUUCAGUGGAAACCGUCUAGUUCAUCUUCAUUGAUAGAAUAUAUUCAUAUAUCUACAUGCCUGUAACACCCAAAAAUUGGAUUUUCAAAUAAUAGGAAUUAAUUGAUUUAUUUGAGUAUUUUUUUUUGUGAGCAUUUAAACCUAGCUAAUAAAAUUAGUUUGUGGGGAAUAAAAUUCAUCAUAAGGCUAGCAACAUGCUUUUGCAUUCAUGCUGAGACAUAUUUUAUUUUGUGCUUUCAAAAUUCUUUUUGGAAAGGCUUUGGAAAAAGAAACAGAAAAGAAAUAAAAAAAAAACAACAGCCGAACCCCUGCAGCCCCGCUAGCGCGGCCCACCUGCGGCCAGGCAGCCCAGCGCGCGCGCCUCCUUCCCCCUCCCUGGCUGACGCGCGUGCCCCACAUGUCAGCAGCGCCUUCGUUCUUCUCCUCAGCGUGGACGAGCCGGUUUCGGCCGGGAAAAUUUCCCAGCGCCGAACCGAAUCCGGGUAAGCACGAUUUCUUACCAAAUCGGCUAAACGGCGCCUAUAUAAGCCCCUAGGUCAACCCCGCGUCCUGCGUGUGCAUUUUAAUCGCGAAACCAAGCUCCAGCCGCCCUAGACUUCGCGAAAUCGGACCUCGCCGGAGCAGCACGCUUUCCGCACGCCGCGAGCCGUUUUCGUCAUCUCUCGGACCCAACCAAGCGCUUAGAAGAGAUCGUGGUGAGCUCCUCUUCAUCCCGGAGUUUUUCUUUCUCGAAACGGUGCUCGGAAACGAGAAGUCACUGUGCGCCGACGAGCUUCCGGUGGCGCGCCGGAGCUGGAAACCGGCCGGGCUGUGCUGAAAGGCGUUUACAGAAAUUACAUAACUGCCAC